CUGUUUCAAUUUGUUGAGGACAGAUAAAAUGAAUGUGGGUAUCAAUUCCCCCAGCGGUGAGAAUCAUCCCCUCCCCUGCAAUGGCUUCGGUACCCGGACCAAUAAUUAUAUCUACAUUAGGUUGAAUAUCGGGAUUUCCUGCUUUGCCUAUGGUGCAUAUUUUGCCGUCCUUGAUACCUAUGUCUGCUUUGACGAUCCCCCACCAAUCAAGAAUUAGAGCAUUGGUAAUGACUGUGUCCACUGCCCCAUCUGCCCUAGAAAUGCCCGACUGCCCCAUGCCAUCACGA
This 287-nucleotide small RNA is filed under the name Cyanobacterium stanieri PCC 7202. RNAcentral's name for it is "5' ureB small RNA". It matches the Rfam family "5' ureB small RNA". Lineage: Bacteria; Bacillati; Cyanobacteriota; Cyanophyceae; Chroococcales; Geminocystaceae. The record is from Rfam by way of RNAcentral.